This 175-nucleotide microRNA precursor is filed under the name Oryza sativa (Asian cultivated rice). RNAcentral's name for it is "miR2923 stem-loop (osa-MIR2923)". The record is from miRBase by way of RNAcentral. Lineage: Eukaryota; Viridiplantae; Streptophyta; Magnoliopsida; Poales; Poaceae.
UUACAGACAAAAAUAUAAAUAACAAAGAAAUAAACGCCUUGUACCUACAGUACAAAGAAUUGGAAUCAAGUUGGGAAAUAUAAGCACCAUACCUGCCUAUUAUGAACAUACUCCAGAUACGAAGGGACAUCUGGAUAACGCAUUUGAGUGUCACUAUCAGGUAUAGGUGAUUUUU